AGCGCUCUUUUUAAGAAGAGCAGCGAACGAGCGAGUAACACGUUGGAACCUGCCCCGAACUCAGGGAUAAGCAUUGGAAACAGUGUCUAAUACCGGAUAGUCCCGAAAGAGUAAAGAUUUUUCGGUUCGGGAGGGGCCUGCGGCCUAUCAGCUUGUUGGUAAGGUAACGGCUUACCAAGGCUAUGACGGGUAACUGGUCUGAGAGGAUGAUCAGUCGCGAUGGAACUGAGACACGGUCCAU
RNAcentral lists this ribosomal RNA (241 nucleotides) under uncultured bacterium. RNAcentral describes it as "partial 16S ribosomal RNA". It matches the Rfam family "Bacterial small subunit ribosomal RNA", at positions 65 to 334 of the family's 1533-position model. The record is from RNAcentral.